This 67-nucleotide transfer RNA is filed under the name Brontostoma colossus. RNAcentral describes it as "tRNA-Trp". The record is from RNAcentral. Lineage: Eukaryota; Metazoa; Arthropoda; Insecta; Hemiptera; Reduviidae.
AAAGCUUUAAGUUAAAUUAAACUAUUAACCUUCAAAGUUAAAAAUACGAGCUUUUUUGUAAGCUUUA